Molecule: ribosomal RNA, 234 nt
Filed under: uncultured bacterium
Lineage: Bacteria
Description: partial 16S ribosomal RNA
Rfam family: Bacterial small subunit ribosomal RNA
Source: RNAcentral
GAUCAUGGCUCAGGACGAACGCUGGCGGCGCGCCUAACACAUGCAAGUCGAACGAGAGAUGAGGAGCUUGCUCUUCAAAUCGAGUGGCGAACGGGUGAGUAACGCGUGAGGAACCUGCCUCAAAGAGGGGGACAACAGUUGGAAACGACUGCUAAUACCGCAUAAGCCCACGGGUCGGCAUCGACCUGAGGGAAAAGGAGCAAUCCGCUUUGAGAUGGCCUCGCGUCCGAUUAG